GACGAACGCUGGCGGCAUGCCUAACACAUGCAAGUCGAACGGAACUUGUUGAAUGAAGUUUUCGGAUGGAUUUUGGCAAGUUUAGUGGCGGACGGGUGAGUAACGCGUGAGCAACCUGCCUUUCAGAGGGGGACAACAGUUGGAAACGACUGCUAAUACCGCAUAACAUCAUUGGGAGGCAUCUUCUGAUGAUCAAAGAUUUAUCGCUGAAAGAUGGGCUCGCGUCUGAUUAGAUAGUUGGUGGGGUAACGGCCUACCAAGUCGACGAUCAGUAGCCGGACUGAGAGGUUGAACGGCCACAUUGGGACUGAGAUACGGCCCAGACUCCUACGGGAGGCAGCAGUGGGGAAUAUUGGGCAAUGGGGGCAACCCUGACCCAGCAACGCCGCGUGAAGGAAGAAGGCUUUCGGGUGUAAACGUUCUUUUACCAGGGUACGAAGACGUGACGGUACCUGG
This 456-nucleotide ribosomal RNA is filed under the name uncultured bacterium. Its description in RNAcentral is "bacterial SSU rRNA". It matches the Rfam family "Bacterial small subunit ribosomal RNA", at positions 28 to 482 of the family's 1533-position model. The record is from RNAcentral.